GUGGGGAAUAUUGCGCAAUGGGCGAAAGCCUGACGCAGCGACGCAGCGUGAGGGACGAAGGCCUUCGGGUUGUAAACCUCUUUCAGCGGGGACGAAGCGCAAGUGACGGUACCCGCAGAAGAAGCACCGGCUAACUACGUGCCAGCAGCCGCGGUAAUACGUAGGGUGCAAGCAUUGUCCGGAUUUAUUGGGCGUAAAGAGCUCGUAGGCGGCUUGUCACGUCGGGUGUGAAAACUCGGGGCUCAACCCCGAGCCUGCACUCGAUACGGGCUAGCUAGAGUGUUGCAGGGGAGACUGGAAUUCCUGGUGUAGCGGUGAAAUGCGCAGAUAUCAGGAGGAACACCGGUGGCGAAGGCGGGUCUCUGGGCAACUACUGACGCUGAGGAGCGAAAGCGUGGGGAGCGAACAGGAUUAGAUACCCCAGUAGUCC
Molecule: ribosomal RNA, 430 nt
Filed under: uncultured bacterium
Lineage: Bacteria
Description: bacterial SSU rRNA
Rfam family: Bacterial small subunit ribosomal RNA
Source: RNAcentral